CAGUAGCCGCGGUAACACGAAGGGGGCUAGCGUUGCUCGGAAUGACUGGGCGUAAAGGGCGCGUAGGCGGAUGGCACAGUCAGAUGUGAAAUUCCCGGGCUUAACCUGGGGGCUGCAUUUGAUACGUGUUGUCUAGAGUGAGGAAGAGGGUUGUGGAAUUCCCAGUGUAGAGGUGAAAUUCGUAGAUAUUGGGAAGAACACCGGUGGCGAAGGCGGCAACCUGGUCCUUGACUGACGCUGAGGCGCGAAAGCGUGGGGAGCAAACAGGAUUAGAUACCCGGGUAGUCCCUGUCUCUUAUAC
This 301-nucleotide ribosomal RNA is filed under the name uncultured bacterium. RNAcentral's name for it is "partial 16S ribosomal RNA". It matches the Rfam family "Bacterial small subunit ribosomal RNA", at positions 509 to 807 of the family's 1533-position model. The record is from RNAcentral.